This 478-nucleotide ribosomal RNA is filed under the name uncultured bacterium. Its description in RNAcentral is "partial 16S ribosomal RNA". It matches the Rfam family "Bacterial small subunit ribosomal RNA", at positions 28 to 507 of the family's 1533-position model. The record is from RNAcentral.
GACGAACGCUGGCGGCGUGCUUAACACAUGCCAGUCGAACGGGAUUUAGUAGACAGAAGCCUCGGCUAAAGAUUACUAAUGAGAGUGGCGAACGGGUGAGUAACGCGUGAGCAACCUGCCUAUGACAGUGGGAUAGCCUCGGGAAACCGGGAUUAAUACCGCAUAAAAUCGUAGAAACACAUGUUUUAACGGUCAAAGAUUUAUCGGUCAUAGAUGGGCUCGCGUCUGAUUAGCUAGUUGGUGAGAUAACAGCCCACCAAGGCGACGAUCAGUAGCCGGUCUGAGAGGAUGAACGGCCACAUUGGAACUGAGACACGGUCCAAACUCCUACGGGAGGCAGCAGUGGGGAAUAUUGCACAAUGGGGGAAACCCUGAUGCAGCGACGCCGCGUGAACGAAGAAGGUAUUCGUAUCGUAAAGUUCUGUCCUAUGGGAAGAUAAUGACAGUACCAUAGAAGAAAGCGCCGGCUAAAUACGUG